CAGGCGUCGACGGGUAGCCGGCCUGAGAGGGUGGACGGCCACAUUGGGACUGAGACACGGCCCAAACUCCUACGGGAGGCAGCAGUGGGGAAUAUUGCACAAUGGGCGCAAGCCUGAUGCAGCGACGCCGCGUGGGGGAUGACGGCCUUCGGGUUGUAAACUCCUUUCAACCAUGACGAAGCUUUUUGUGACGGUAGUGGUAGAAGAAGCACCGGCUAACUACGUGCCAGCAGCCGCGGUAAUAC
Molecule: ribosomal RNA, 245 nt
Filed under: uncultured bacterium
Lineage: Bacteria
Description: partial 16S ribosomal RNA
Rfam family: Bacterial small subunit ribosomal RNA
Source: RNAcentral